UUUCGCAAUGCCCGAAAGGGUGACGAAGCGACGCCGCGUGGGUGAGGAAGGCCUUCGGGUUGUAAAGCCCUGUCAGGAGUUAAGAAAUGUAGACUCGCUAAUAUCGGGUCUAUUUGACAAAGGCUCCAAAGGAAGCCACGGCUAACUCUGUGCCAGCAGCCGCGGUAAUACAGAGGUGGCAAGCGUUGUUCGGAAUUAUUGGGCGUAAAGAGCACGUAGGUGGAUUUGUAAAUCAGACGUGAAAGCCUUCUGUUCAACGGAAGAAUUGCAUCUGAAACUACAAACCUUGAGUGUAGGAGGGGAGAAUGGAACUUCUGGUGGAGCGGUGAAAUGCGUAGAUAUCAGAAGGAACGCCGGCGGCGAAAGCGAUUCUCUGGCCUAUUACUGACACUCAGUGUGCGAAAGCUAGGGGAGCAAACGGGAUUAGAUACCCCGGUAGUCCUAGCCGUAAACGAUGGGCACUAAGUAGAGGGGUUUU
Molecule: ribosomal RNA, 478 nt
Filed under: uncultured bacterium
Lineage: Bacteria
Description: bacterial SSU rRNA
Rfam family: Bacterial small subunit ribosomal RNA
Source: RNAcentral